UACGUAGGGGACUAGCGUUGUUCGGAAUUACUGGGCGUAAAGCGCACGUAGGCGGAUUUGUAAGUCAGGGGUGAAAUCCCGGGGCUCAACCUCGGAACUGCCUUUGAUACUGCAAAUCUCGAGUCCGAUAGAGGUGGGUGGAAUUCCUAGUGUAGAGGUGAAAUUCGUAGAUAUUAGGAAGAACACCGGUGGCGAAGGCGGCCCACUGGAUCGUUACUGACGCUGAGGUGCGAAAGCGUGAGGAGCAAACAGG
Molecule: ribosomal RNA, 253 nt
Filed under: uncultured bacterium
Lineage: Bacteria
Description: partial 16S ribosomal RNA
Rfam family: Bacterial small subunit ribosomal RNA
Source: RNAcentral